Molecule: ribosomal RNA, 907 nt
Filed under: Stegana jianqinae
Lineage: Eukaryota; Metazoa; Arthropoda; Insecta; Diptera; Drosophilidae
Description: partial 28S ribosomal RNA
Rfam family: Eukaryotic large subunit ribosomal RNA
Source: RNAcentral
UUUUCUUAGUAGCGGCGAGCGAAAAGAAAAUAGUUCAGCACUAAGUCACUUUGUCUUUAUGGCAAAUGUGAGAUGCAGUGUAUGGUACGUCUUCAAUCUAGUAUGAGAAAUUAACGAUUUAAGUCAUUCUUAAAUGAGGCCAAUUACCCAUAGAGGGUGCCAGGCCCGUAUAACGUUAAUGAUUACUAGAAGGCGUUACCGAAGAGUCGUGUUGCUUGAUAGUGCAGCACUAAGUUGGUGGUAAACUCCAUCUAAAACUAAAUAUAACCAUGAGACCGAUAGUAAACAAGUACCGUGAGGGAAAGUUGAAAAGAACUCUGAAUAGAGAGUUAAAUAGUACGUGAAACUGCUUAGAGGUUAAGCCCGAUGAACCUGAAUAUCCGUUAUGGAAAAUUCAUCAUUAGAAUUGUAAUAUCUUUAAAAAAAUAUUAUAAUGAUAGUGUGCAUUUUUUCCAUAUAAGGACAUUGUAAUCUAUUAACAUAAUUGAGUAUUUAUCAAAAAAUCAUAAACUUUAUGUUUAUUCAAAUUAUUAUGCUUGCAUUUUAACAUAGAAUAAAUGUUUAUGAUUUUGAUAAAGUGUUGAUAGAUUUAUCAUAUAUACAGUGCUUUAAUUUUUCUUUUGAAAAAUUAUAUAAUGGCAUAAUAAUCAAUGAUUUUUAUGUUUAUUAUAUGCACUUGUAUGAUUAACAAUGCGAAAGAUUCAGGAUACCUUCGGGACCCGUCUUGAAACACGGACCAAGGAGUCUAACAUAUAUGCAAGUCAUUGGGAUUUUUAUUGUAAACCUAAUGGCGUAAUUAACUUGACUUGAAUCUAAUAAUGGGAUUAGUUUUUAAACUAUUUAUAGUUUAUUAACACAAUCCCGGGGCGUUCUAUAUAGUUAUGUAUAAUAGUAUUUUAUAUUAUUU